RNAcentral lists this ribosomal RNA (254 nucleotides) under uncultured bacterium. RNAcentral's name for it is "partial 16S ribosomal RNA". It matches the Rfam family "Bacterial small subunit ribosomal RNA", at positions 524 to 776 of the family's 1533-position model. The record is from RNAcentral.
UACGGGGGGAGCAAGCGUUGUUCGGAUUUACUGGGCGUAAAGGGCGCGUAGGCGGCCAGCACAAGUCAGUUGUGAAAUCUCCGAGCUUAACUCGGAAAGGUCAACUGAUACUGUGCGGCUAGAGUGCGGAAGGGGCAACUGGAAUUCUUGGUGUAGCGGUGAAAUUCGUAGAUAUUCGGAAGAACACCAGUGGCGAAGGCGACUUACUGGACACAUAUUGACGCUGAGGUGCGAAAGCGUGGGGAGCAAACAGG